GCAAAGCACUUUGAAGAGAGAGUUAAAGAGGACGUGAAACCGGUAAGGUGGAAACGGAUAGAGUCGGCGUAUCAUUCAAUUAUUCAGUUACAUUAUUUUUAUGUUGUGACCUCUGAGCUCCAGAUUGGGACAGAGGGAAUCAGCAUAAUUUUUUGUGGUGCAUUUACUUGAUUGGUGCUUGGGGAUGUUUGAGGCAGAUUUGUUUCCGUCGUUUUGAGGCCAGCUUGCUGGUACCCAAACGGUGUUAGCAUUUUUUGUCUUGGGCAUUUGAGUAUGGCUCACGUGUAUUUAUUGGACAGAUCUGAGUGUAAGUUACGGUCGCAUGCGACACGUGCUUUUCAAUUAGUUCGGUCCAGUUAAUGCUCUCGUACUCGUUCCCCAUGUAAAAGCCGGUCAUCUAUCCGACCCGUCUUGAAACACGGACCAAGGAGUUUAUCGUGUGCGCAAGUUUUUGGGUGUUAAAAACUUAAAAGCGAAAUGAAAGUAAAUGACUCUUUAGAGUCUGAUGUGCGAUCUUGUAAAAAAGUGUAGCAUGGCCCCAUUCUAACUGUUUACAGUAGGGUGGCGGAAGAGCGUACUGCGGUGAGACCCGAAAGAUGGUGAACUAUUCCUGAGCAGGACGAAGCCAGAGGAAACUCUGGUGGAAGUCCGAAGCGGUUCUGACGUGCAAAUCGAUCGUCUGACGUUCGGCCCCAUAUGGUCGAAAUAUUUAUUCNAACCUUCUAUCAUCUGGCCNUCU
RNAcentral lists this ribosomal RNA (739 nucleotides) under Meloidogyne sp. DHR-2019. Its description in RNAcentral is "partial large subunit ribosomal RNA". It matches the Rfam family "Eukaryotic large subunit ribosomal RNA", at positions 366 to 962 of the family's 3401-position model. Lineage: Eukaryota; Metazoa; Nematoda; Chromadorea; Rhabditida; Meloidogynidae. The record is from RNAcentral.